GACGAACGCUGGCGGUGUGCUUAACACAUGCAAGUCGAACGGUAAGGCCCUUUCGGGGGUACACGAGUGGCGAACGGGUGAGUAACACGUGAGUAACCUGCCCUCAUCUCUGGGAUAACAGUCGGAAACGGUUGCUAAUACUGGAUAUGAGCUUGCAAGGCAUCUUGUGGGUUGGAAAGAUUUUUUUGGUUGGGGAUGGACUCGCGGCCUAUCAGCUUGUUGGUGAGGUAGUGGCUCACCAAGGCUUCGACGGGUAGCCGGCCUGAGAGGGCGACCGGCCACAUUGGGACUGAGAUACGGCCCAAACUCCUACGGGAGGCAGCAGUGGGGAAUAUUGCACAAGGGACGGAAGUCUGAUGCAGCAACGCCGCGUGCGGGGUGACGGCCUUCGGGUUGUAAACCGCUUUCAAUUGUGACGAAGCUUUUUGUGACGGUAGCAGUAGAAGAAGCACCGGCUAACUACGUG
This 466-nucleotide ribosomal RNA is filed under the name uncultured bacterium. RNAcentral describes it as "partial 16S ribosomal RNA". It matches the Rfam family "Bacterial small subunit ribosomal RNA", at positions 28 to 507 of the family's 1533-position model. The record is from RNAcentral.